UGGGUAGUGUAUUCCGAAAACGUUGAAUUUUUUUAUGUCUAAAGUGUCAUUUUUGAGCAUGUAUGUAUGUAUUGAGCAUUAUGUAUAGUAGGGUUGAUUUGAGGGGAUAUGAUGCAUGUUGUGAGGACAAAUGCAUGAGAAAUAAUGGUAAAAGAGUAAGAACUUGUGUAACCCUAUGUAUGCAUGAUCAAUGACAAGAACCUAGUUGAGUUAGAGAACAAAAAUGACAUGUUGACAUAAAUGUAGAGAGUAGCAUUGAUGAGUCUUGAAUACUAGUGUUACAAUAGUGA
Molecule: long non-coding RNA, 290 nt
Filed under: Ananas comosus (pineapple)
Lineage: Eukaryota; Viridiplantae; Streptophyta; Magnoliopsida; Poales; Bromeliaceae
Description: long non-coding RNA (ACOM_LNC032762)
Source: RNAcentral